AUAAUAAAAAGGAGCUGCUUUCUAAUACUUCGCUUCCUUGUAAUGCCUACGUUAACAAUAACGAGGUUCGACUUUUUGUUUUUAGAGGGAUACUGGAAAAUUUGAAAGUACAGUACCAUUGGGAAGAAAAUCACGAUAUUGAAAACGAUAUUUGCAAAUUGAACAAUAUUCCAGAUUUAUUCAUAAUUUCAUACUACGCGAAGAAUAGACUUUCAUAGGUAUAUAAAGGAAAUAUUAAGUAUAGGAAAACUCUUUUUCGUUGUAGGUGACAUAUGCUUCACGGUUGAACACAUGUAUUUUUGAACACAUAUAAAUGAAGAAGUACUCUUAUGGAGAAAAAGAAUUGAUACCUUCGAUUGACAUUAGAUAAUGUAUAUAAACUUAUGAACAAUCACUAUCAGUUUGUAUUUUAGGUGCACACGCAGAUUUGUUGGAGUUCUUAUAAAAUGUACUUCCUGUACGAACGUUUUAUUCUUCCAAAUUUUACGAUACUAUGUCUCAUAUGAUAACUAUAUGGAUUAAACGUAAUAUAAAUGAUCCGAAAAUAGACUCGAACGACAUUAAUUGUCUUUCUAUUUAUACCAAUAUCGAAAAUACAAGUAAAGCUGGAGCAAUAGUAUGCAAGAAUGGACUAUUUAUUAUUUUAAACCAAAUCAUAGCAUAUUCAGAAUGCACAGUAUUAUCAUGAAAUGUAAAUGAAUCAGUUGUAAACGAACGAUUUUACUGUAAAAUCAUUGCCACCUUUUUUUCAUCUGAAAUAUAGCAGCAAUGAGUACAUUCUUUUAAUAUAUAAUAAAACGAGAUAUCUUUAUAAAGUUACAUAUGUCAUCACUGGUAACUGUUAUCUCGUAUGACACCAAAUAUACCGUUAGUAUGGAAUGAUAUUUUUAUGAAGAUAUACUUUAAUGAUAGAUUUUAUGAAUGAAACGUUAUAUAAGAAAAAUUAUCUCUUGUUAUUCUAUGAAGUGUAGUAGCUAAUGAAGAUUAAUUUUACGAAGUAUUAGAGCAAAAGAGAAUUAAAAAAUUAAAAAGAUCUAAAUAAGAUUGUUCGUGUGGCUUAAUUAUCUCAAUUCUGGUACACCACUUGUUACAUUCUAACUAAUUAGCGCUAAACAAUAACUUGCAAAUAUUAAAGAUAUUAACACCUUAAUAUUAACACCUAAAGGUUUUCAGGAAAUUUUAUAAUAUUUGAUUAUUGUAUAUCUAGUCAUUGAUUGAUAAAAUUUCUUGUAUAAGCAUAGAUCGAGGUUGACGUCAUACGCAGAUUGCAUUACAGGUAUCGUUUUAAUUUAUUUUAUGGCUAGAAUCAUUUGAAUAUUAUACGAAUAAUUAUUUCCAUUCGAACGAUUAAUAAAUCAC
This is a long non-coding RNA of Bombus huntii, 1359 nucleotides long. RefSeq lists it as uncharacterized. Lineage: Eukaryota; Metazoa; Arthropoda; Insecta; Hymenoptera; Apidae. The transcript is spliced from 2 exons. The record is from RefSeq and is a predicted model, not a curated record.